Molecule: transfer RNA, 63 nt
Filed under: Perionyx excavatus (compost worm)
Lineage: Eukaryota; Metazoa; Annelida; Clitellata; Crassiclitellata; Megascolecidae
Description: tRNA-Asn
Source: RNAcentral
UAAGUGAAAGCCAAAGGCACCUAUCUGUUAAUUAGGCCCGUGCUAAAUCCAUAGCUCACUUAG